GCGUACUUGUGUCGCCGCUCUUCAUCCUUCGGACGAACGUGUCUGGCAUUAGGKUGUCGGGCUCGGCAGUCCGMUCAUUUACUGUGAAAAAAUUAGAGKGUUUAAAGCAGGCGUUUGCUGUGAAUACAUUAGCAUGGAAUAAUAAGAUAGGACUUUGGKGCUAUUUUGCUGGUUUGCACACCAAGGUAAUGAWUAAUAGGGAUAGUUGGGGAUAUUCAUAUUCAAUUGUCAGAGGUGAAAUUCUUGAUUUAUGGAAGAUGAACUUAUGCGAAAGCAUUUACCAAGGAUGUUUUCAUUAAUCAAGAACGAAAGUUAGGGSAUCGAAGAUGAUUAGAUACCAUCGUAGUCUUAACCAUAAACUAUGCCGACUAGGGAUUGGCGGGUGUUACUUUAAUGACCCCGUCAGCACCUUAUGAGAAAUCAAAGUCUUUGGAUUCCGGGGGGAGUAUGGUCGCAAGGCUGA
This 463-nucleotide ribosomal RNA is filed under the name uncultured marine eukaryote. RNAcentral describes it as "bacterial SSU rRNA". It matches the Rfam family "Eukaryotic small subunit ribosomal RNA", at positions 685 to 1151 of the family's 1831-position model. The record is from RNAcentral.